GCCUUCGUAGUGUAGUGGUCAGCACGCUCGAUGCGAAUUCGAGAGGUCUGUGGUUCGAGUCCUCGGCGAGGGCG
This is a non-coding RNA of Stegodyphus dumicola, 74 nucleotides long. NCBI's taxonomy places the organism in Eukaryota, Metazoa, Arthropoda, Arachnida, Araneae, Eresidae. The record is from the annotation of a RefSeq genome assembly.